This 298-nucleotide unclassified non-coding RNA is filed under the name fungal sp. Its description in RNAcentral is "partial internal transcribed spacer region". The stretch from base 1 to 46 matches the Rfam family "Eukaryotic small subunit ribosomal RNA", at positions 1786 to 1831 of the family's 1831-position model. Lineage: Eukaryota; Fungi. The record is from RNAcentral.
AAGUCGUAACAAGGUUUCCGUAGGUGAACCUGCGGAAGGAUCAUUACCACAUCCAAAGCUUAUCAACCCAUCUGUGUGAACCGUUGAGCUGUUUGGACGAAAGGACUCACGGCCGGUUUGAGAAUGUAUGUCUGUUGGCGUGUCACAGCGCCAACAGCAUCUACCUCACUCCGACUGCCUCUCGGAAUCUCGCUCACCUGUCCAUCAAAAACAACUGUUAAACUCUACUUUAACACAUGACAAACCAAAAAAAACGAAACUUGAGAGACAACUUUUAACGAUGGAUCUCUUGGCUCGU